UACGUAGGGUGCAAGCGUUGUCCGGAAUUAUUGGGCGUAAAGAGCUCGUAGGCGGCUUGUCACGUCGACUGUGAAAACCCGGGGCUCAACUCCGGGCCUGCAGUCGAUACGGGCUGGCUUGAGUGCGGUAGGGGAGACUGGAAUUCCUGGUGUAGCGGCGAAAUGCGCAGAUAUCAGGAGGAACACCGGUGGCGAAGGCGGGUCUCUGGGCCGAAACUGACGCUGAGGAGCGAAAGCGUGGGGAGCGAACAGG
This 253-nucleotide ribosomal RNA is filed under the name uncultured bacterium. RNAcentral's name for it is "partial 16S ribosomal RNA". It matches the Rfam family "Bacterial small subunit ribosomal RNA", at positions 524 to 776 of the family's 1533-position model. The record is from RNAcentral.